GGGGAGGCCAAAGUAGGAGCUGUUCCAUGUCCACAUCUCUAGUAAAAGUUUGCUAGGAAGAAUGUAACAUUUGUAGAAUAAGAUUUGUAUAUGGCCUAACCACUGCCUUAUAAAUUGAGACCCGGUACUACUACCUUUUUGGGGGACUCAGAAACAGAAUUUGAUGAUUAUAGAACAAUUCAUGUGCAAGACUCUUGGUUAAAAAGAACUGCUGAGGAAAACUCAGAAAUUCAACUAAUUUCUAAAUAGGUCAUUUACAGGCAAAGAACCAUAGUACUCGUUGACCUGAACAGAGC
This 296-nucleotide long non-coding RNA is filed under the name Heterocephalus glaber (naked mole-rat). Its description in RNAcentral is "lncRNA (ENSHGLG00000025218.2)". The record is from RNAcentral. Lineage: Eukaryota; Metazoa; Chordata; Mammalia; Rodentia; Bathyergidae.